Molecule: ribosomal RNA, 846 nt
Filed under: uncultured bacterium
Lineage: Bacteria
Description: bacterial SSU rRNA
Rfam family: Bacterial small subunit ribosomal RNA
Source: RNAcentral
GACGAACGCUGGCGGCGUGCUUAACACAUGCAAGUCGAGCGAGAAACCUUCGGGUUUCUAGCGGCGGACGGGUGAGUAACACGUGGGUAACCUGCCUCAAAGUGGGGGAUAGCCUUCCGAAAGGAAGAUUAAUACCGCAUAACAUCAUAGCUUCACAUGAAGCCAUGAUUAAAGGAGCAAUCCGCUUUGAGAUGGACCCGCGUCGCAUUAGCUAGUUGGAGAGGUAACGGCUCACCAAGGCGACGAUGCGUAGCCGACCUGAGAGGGUGAUCGGCCACAUUGGAACUGAGACACGGUCCAGACUCCUACGGGAGGCAGCAGUGGGGAAUAUUGCACAAUGGGCGAAAGCCUGAUGCAGCAACGCCGCGUGAGUGAAGAAGGUCUUCGGAUUGUAAAACUCUGUCUUUUGGGACGAUAAUGACGGUACCAAAGGAGGAAGCCACGGCUAACUACGUGCCAGCAGCCGCGGUAAUACGUAGGUGGCAAGCGUUGUCCGGAUUUACUGGGCGUAAAGGAUGUGUAGGCGGAUAUUUAAGUGAGAUGUGAAAUCCCCGAGCUCAACUUGGGGGCUGCAUUUCAAACUGGGUAUCUAGAGUGCAGGAGAGGAAAGCGGAAUUCCUAGUGUAGCGGUGAAAUGCGUAGAGAUUAGGAAGAACAUCAGUGGCGAAGGCGGCUUUCUGGACUGUAACUGACGCUGAGGCAUGAAAGCGUGGGGAGCAAACAGGAUUAGAUACCCUGGUAGUCCACGCCGUAAACGAUGAGUACUAGGUGUAGGAGGUAUCGACUCUUUCUGUGCCGCAGUUAACACAAUAAGUACUCCGCCUGGGAAGUACGGUCGCAAGAUUA